AACCACCUGAUCCCAUCCCGAACUCAGCAGUGAAACGAUGUAUCGCCGAUGGUAGUGUGGGGUUUCCCCAUGUGAGAGUAGGUCAUCGUCAAGA
Molecule: ribosomal RNA, 94 nt
Filed under: Pseudomonas sp.
Lineage: Bacteria; Pseudomonadati; Pseudomonadota; Gammaproteobacteria; Pseudomonadales; Pseudomonadaceae
Also listed under: 1 other name
Source: RNAcentral